This is a long non-coding RNA of Ostrea edulis (European flat oyster), 809 nucleotides long. RefSeq lists it as uncharacterized. NCBI's taxonomy places the organism in Eukaryota, Metazoa, Mollusca, Bivalvia, Ostreida, Ostreidae. The record is from RefSeq and is a predicted model, not a curated record. The transcript is spliced from 2 exons.
UUUCUUUGUUGCUUAUUUUCUUCAUAUGUGUUGAAGUCAGAAUGUCAUCAUAAAUUUUUAAAAACUCCACAUCUAUUUUCAGUAACAUUUCAUUUGCAUAUUAGUAAGAAUUCAUAAUGAAUUUAUGAGGAAUAUAUUCACAAUUUCGUUGAUUCUGGAAUACGUUAUUAUAAUUCUUUUUCUUCAAAAUAUAUAUUUUCUAUAAAGAUAUGUUAUCAACUGUUUUUGAAGAAAAAGGCAUUAUUUACACUUUUAAUAUUUCAUUUGAUUUCUAAAUGCCAAGCUCAAUGAUAUGCUUUAAUGAUGUUUAGUAGUCUAUUUUGAGAUAAGUGUAAAAAAGAAUUAUUUCCCAGCCUCCUGUUGGAAAAUUUAACCCUUGCAAUAGGGCCACACAGUCUCGCUUCCGGUGGAGAACUUCCGGAGAAAAGCACACAUUUCUCAGCAUAGCAAUAGACUAUGAAUUGGCUUAUUUGAGUUAAAAGAAACAAUCAUAACUUUGUAUUCGUGUUUGCGUGUUGUCAACUUGGUUUACGGCGAACAUGUAAGGCUUCCAGGAUCCUAUCUAAAAAAAGGGAGGGGGGAUGCAGAUAAUGGACCUACUGCUUGGUGGUUUAUUGGAUUGUGAAAAGUGACACUGGAUCAACGAAUUACCAGAGCAAUCCAUUCCAGGGCAGAUUAUGAAAGCUGAUUUGCUCUUGUUGAUUUUAACACUACAAAAUAUUUCUUGUUAGUAAAAUAUUGAAGUAUUAUCCUUCAUGAUAUACAAAUGUAGAUUAAGGAUUAAAAUAUAAUAAAAGUCUUCACCACCA